Molecule: non-coding RNA, 4204 nt
Organism: Benincasa hispida (wax gourd)
Lineage: Eukaryota; Viridiplantae; Streptophyta; Magnoliopsida; Cucurbitales; Cucurbitaceae
Source: RefSeq, a predicted model, not a curated record
UAUGUAUUGCAUUUUUCAUGCCAUGUCCUGUACGGAAUGGAAGAUAAGUAUAUUUUAUUUAUUAUUAUUAUUUUUUUUUUUGAAAGGAAAUGAGUCUCUUUAUUUGUUAAGUUAAUGAAAUGAGACUAAUGCUCAAAAUACAAAGAUACGACAAGAUAAUACUUUGGAUUAGUAGGUCAAGAUAUCUCAACUAGGUUGACACCCCCUUAGCACCAUCAUCAUCUCCUAGGACAAAAAUUGAGGAUAUAAUUAGAAUGUUUCAGUACAAUACAUUACAGUAUAUUCAUGUUCCUAAAGGACCUAAGCAGAAAGGAUGGCAUUCUUUUAUUGGAAUGCUUAAAAGUUUUAAAGAAAUGUGAGGCAGUAAGUCAGAUAUUAAAGAAGCCAUUAACAGAUUUUGCUCAAUCCACCAAAGUUAUACCUGAGCUAAAUUCCCAAAGGAAAUAUGAAACAAGUUUCGCAGACGCGGUAAAAGGAAAAGGAAGUAUCAAGUUCUUUGCCCCAAAAUCAUCAAAUAAGAGCAGUAACAAGCAGACGUAGUCCUCUGUUCCAGUGAUGGUAAAAAAACAGAGCAAGAAGUGCUUUUGGAUUCAGAAGAAUUAUGAUGUUUUCAAGGAGGAUUUUAAUAACUUAUGAAUCAUUUCGAGGCUAUUUGUGUUCAAUGAAUGAAAGGAGAUAGCAAAAGUACUGAAAGAGGUCUUUCAUUCUAGUGUCAUUAUCAAUUCCCUGUUUGCAGAUAAAGCCUUAAUCAAAGUUGGCCAAGGAGAUUUGGAAGAGCUGAUCAAAGAUCCGGGUAAAUGGCCGUUAAUUGGUUCUUAUCGUUUACUAUUUGAAAAAUGGAAUAAGACAAGACAUGGUAGACCUUCAAUUAUGAAAGGAUUUGGGGGAUGAAUAUCAAUAAAAAAUCUUCGAUUGGAUUACUGGUGUAGAAGUACGUUUGAAGUAAUUAGAGCUUAUUUUGGAGGUCUUGAAAGCAUAGCAGCUGAAACUCUUAAUCUCACAAAUUGUGCGGAAGCUAAAAUCCAAGUUAGAAGAAACCUUUGUAGAUUCAUGCCAGUGACCACAGAAAUUAAGGAUGAAAAUCGUGGCUGUAUCUUUUUGAAUUUUGGGGAUAUUGAGUGUGUUGAUACUGGUGAUUUAUUUGUUAAUAAUUUUUCCAAUCCAAUAGAUUUAGUUCGUCCGAAUCUAAGUUAUGAAGGAUGAAGGUGUUGCUAUUAAUGUUAUGGAAUCAAAAUGGUCUUUCCUUGUAUCCACUCAGUCCAAACUGGAGUACUCAAGAACCCGAACGUGUUUUUGAAGAAGGAUCUCCUACAGAUGCUGUAGACAACAAAGCAUUCCCCUAUGAUCAAGCUUCCUUCAACAAUGGAUGGUGUGAACACUUCAGAGGAAAGUGAAGCGUCACUUUUAAUGAGGAAAGAGAAAGCUUCUGACGUUUCGGGUUUUAAGGAAAACACAGUUAUUUUAAACACAAAAAAGGCAGGCGAAGAGUCACUCUUAAAGCAAGGAGUGAAGAACUUUAAUGAGAAAUGGGAGCUUUCCGACAUGGAAGAUCAGACAACCCACAACGAAAUUAAUACUGAGAAAGGGAUAUAUGAAGAGCCACAUGGUUUUUCUUUGGAAAUUUCUCAAAAAACAGGGACCUCGAACACCUUCUGCUACACUCCAGACAAUAGAAAGCUAAACUCAAGAGAUAAAUCAAGGAAACUCUCUGCUUCCUCUGCUUCUCGAUCGAAAUUUUCCAGUCUUUGGAAACCUUUUCCCAAACAUUUUGCCAGAAAAUGAACUUCCUACAUCAAUAAAUGGAUAGUAACAAAUAAUCAAGAGUUGUUGGAAAGAAAUGACCUCAGAAUCUCAAAUUUUUGGCUCCUCAGACGGUAAAGAGAAUAAGAGUUCGAGUCCCCUCAGAACAAGCUCAACAGAAAACAACCCAGAUUUGUUAGAGGAUUGUUGCACAAGAAUUCAAGCACCCUUUUCUUCCACAAAGACAGAGGUACACCUUGACCUCCUCUGAUCUCCUAUAAAACAAGAAAGUGUGAAUCUGACAUAGACUCUCCAAUUAGUGUGAGUAGCGAAGAUAUUUAAGGCCUGGAGAUUGGUACAACCCAAGAGGACAGAGUGCAAGAAGAAAUUAGUGGUGUGGAUCUACCGACUCUGUUUUUGAAUGAAGUUGAGUUGAAUGGUGACGAGCAUCGUUUUUCAUGUUUUUCUCCAUUACACCCAUCUGAAUUACCCCUCAUUUGACCUCCAUUGUUAAGAAUUGUGGAGUUAUCUUGGCUUGAGUACUCUCCCCUUUUUUCAUACGUGCAGUGCUCUAUUGACAAAACACAAUGAAGAUUGUGUCCUGGAACACAUGGGGGCAAUCUUGUAUUAUUUGGCAUAACCUUCUUCUUCUUUUGUACUAUUGUGUAUCGGUUAGUGAUUUGUUUUGGGACCUUGUUGUUCUUUGUUUUAUCACUAUGUUAUGUUAGUUUUGUAUGGAUGUGAUCAGUGUUUUAAAAUGCCCAAGGUGCACUAAGGCGCAAUGGCCCUUUGGAGCCUAGGUGCGGGCUUUUUUUCGUAAGGCGCAUUAUAUAUAAAAAAUAUAAAAAAAAAUAGAUACUAUAUACAUGUUUAUUUACACAACCAAAACAUAGAUGGAUAGAAAUGUGACUUAAAGAAGAAUAUACAAAAAAAAAAAAAAGAAAUAGAUAAGAUUUAAAUAUUAGUCAUUGACUCAUUGUCAUUCAACACCAAGUUAAAGUGAAACGACACAAAAACAAUCACAAAUACGAUUCUAAAAUCCUAAAUAUCGAACUCAUCUUCACUAAAUAGGUUUUCAUCCUCAUUCUCUCCAUCAUUCGACUUAUAACCAUCUAUAUCUUCUUUGUCGGUCUCAGAGUCAUAACUGAUGUGUGGGUGGGUUGGGAUGGUGGUUGUGUGGAAGAUGAAGAUGAACAUAAAGCAUUAGUCUUAGACUUAGUUCUUAAGGUACCAACUCUAGAAUAAUAGGCAAGUUCUUUGCUCCAGUAGCUCUUGAAACAUCGCCCCAUGUUAAAGAAUCGUUGUCGAAAACAAGAUCAUCCUCCUCCUCUAAAUCGUCAUCCGUUCUUCCAAUCAGCCACCCAUUACUAUCAUCUAUCUCUUUUAAAGAGAUAGGGUCAACGAUGUCUCGAAUAUUAUAUCGACGCUUCAGUGCUCUAUUAUAUUUUAUGAAUACUAAGUCAUUCAGACAACUUUGAGCAAGUCUAUUCCUUUUCUUGCUAUAAAGCUGCAAGUAUACACUAAAAAUUUCAUUGUCAACUUCAAUUACAUUCACAUCUAGAGGCACUACAAAUAACAAAAGAUACCUAACCUGUUAACAAACGCUCCAAUUAUGUUCACAUCUAGAGGCACUACAAGUGAUGCCCCAUUGAGCGUUAGUAGCGAAGAUGAAGUCGAGCCUCAUGAACAAGAGGAUGGGCAAGUGACUCUAAAGAAGGAGAUAUCAGCUUUAGAUCUUAAUGCCUUGUUCUAGAUUGAGGAAGAUCCAGCUGAUAAAACGAAAUUUGAAGCCAACCUUCCACCACUCCAAUCAGUGGAUAUCCCAGAUCAUUUGAAAUCAAUAAUCGAUGAUUGCGGAGUAAUUUAGUUUGAUUUUCCUUAGUUACACACUGGGUUCUAUAAUUGGUAAUUUCAUGAUGAAAAUAGUUUCAUGGAAUACAAGAGGUUUGAAGGAUGUCAGUAAGAGAUUGGCACUCGAGAUUUUUGAAAAAACAUAAUCUGGACUUGGUGUUAGUACAAGAGUCAAAGAAAGAAAACUUUGAUAUUGGGUUCAUCAAAUCUAUAUGGAGCUUUAAAGACAUAGGUCGGGAAUUUGUGGAAUCAUUUGGAAAGUCUGGAGGAAUGUUGACAUUAUGGGACAAGAGUAAGCUCUCGGUUGCCGAAUCUCUCAAAGGAGGAUAUUUACUUUCAGUUGAAUGCAUUACAAUGAGUAAGAAGACGUGUGGGUUACAAAUGUGUACGGUCCAAAUGAUUACAAGGAGAGAAAUUUGUAUGGCCUGAAUUGCUUUCCCUCUCAGUGUAUUGUUCAAAAGCAUGGUGUAUUGGAAGAGAUUUCAACAUUACUAGAUGGGCUCAUGAGUGAUUUCUGUAUGGUAGAGUCACCAAAGGUAUGAGGAAGUUUAAUAAUUUCAUUGGUCAAGCUAAUCUUUUGAAAAUUCCUCUUUCUAAUGGCAGCUACACUUGG